AUCCGGAAACGGGUGCUAAUACCGCAUAGUUUCUUGAUCGCAUGAUCGGGAAAGGAAAGACGGCCUUUGUGCUGUCGCUUAUGGAUGGACCCGCGGCGUAUUAGUUAGUUGGUGAGGUAACGGCUCACCAAGACGAUGAUACGUAGCCGACCUGAGAGGGUGAUCGGCCGCAUUGGGACUGAGACACGGCCCAAACUCCUACGGGAGGCAGCAGUAGGGAAUCUUCCGCAAUGGACGAAAGUCUGACGGAGCAACGCCGCGUGAGUGAAGAAGGGUUUUUUCCGGGAUCGUAAAACUCUGUUGUCAGAGAAGAACAAGUUGGAGAGUAACUGCUCCAGCCUUGACGGUAUCUGACCAGAAAGCCACGGCUAACUACGUGCCAGCAGCUGC
RNAcentral lists this ribosomal RNA (390 nucleotides) under uncultured bacterium. RNAcentral describes it as "bacterial SSU rRNA". It matches the Rfam family "Bacterial small subunit ribosomal RNA", at positions 148 to 518 of the family's 1533-position model. The record is from RNAcentral.